Molecule: ribosomal RNA, 526 nt
Filed under: uncultured bacterium
Lineage: Bacteria
Description: bacterial SSU rRNA
Rfam family: Bacterial small subunit ribosomal RNA
Source: RNAcentral
GAUGAACGCUAGCGGCAGGCUUAAUACAUGCAAGUCGUGGGGCAAGCGUUGGUAGUAAUACCGGCGCCUAGACCGGCAAACGGGUGAGGAACACGUACACAACCUUCCUUCAAGUGGAGAAUAACCCGAGGAAACCUGGACUAAUACUCCGUAACAUGUUAAAAAGGCAUCUUUUUAAUAUUAUAGCAGCAAUGCGCUUGAAGACGGGUGUGCGCAUGAUUAGGUAGUUGGCGGGGUAACGGCCCACCAAGCCUACGAUCAUUAACUGGUGUGAGAGCAUGAUCAGUCACACGGGCACUGAGACACGGGCCCGACUCCUACGGGAGGCAGCAGUAAGGAAUAUUGGUCAAUGGAGGAAACUCUGAACCAGCCAUGCCGCGUGGAGGAUGAAGGUCCUCUGGAUUGUAAACUUCUUUUAUAUGGGACGAAAAAACGGUUUUCUAACCGGACUGACGGUACCAUACGAAUAAGCACCGGCUAACUCCGUGCCAGCAGCCGCGGUAAUACGGAGGGUGCAAGCGUUAUC